AUGCACGCUGGCGGCGUGCUUCACACAUGCCAGUCGAACGGAAAGGCCCAAGCUUGCUUGGGUACUCGAGUGGCGAACGGGUGAGUAACACGUGGGUGAUCUGCCCUGCACUUCGGGAUAAGCCUGGGAAACUGGGUCUAAUACCGGAUAGGACCACUUCUUGGAUGUUGUGGUGGAAAGUUUUUUCGGUGUGGGAUGAGCUCGCGGCCUAUCAGCUUGUUGGUGGGGUAAUGGCCUACCAAGGCGUCGACGGGUAGCCGGCCUGAGAGGGUGUACGGCCACAUUGGGACUGAGAUACGGCCCAGACUCCUACGGGAGGCAGCAGUGGGGAAUAUUGCACAAUGGGCGCAAGCCUGAUGCAGCGACGCCGCGUGGGGGAUGACGGCCUUCGGGUUGUAAACUCCUUUCGCUAGGGACGAAGCGUUUUGUGACGGUACCUGGAGAAGAAGCACCGGCUAACUACGUG
RNAcentral lists this ribosomal RNA (466 nucleotides) under uncultured bacterium. RNAcentral describes it as "partial 16S ribosomal RNA". It matches the Rfam family "Bacterial small subunit ribosomal RNA", at positions 29 to 507 of the family's 1533-position model. The record is from RNAcentral.